This 628-nucleotide ribosomal RNA is filed under the name Rhodococcoides kroppenstedtii. RNAcentral's name for it is "bacterial SSU rRNA". It matches the Rfam family "Bacterial small subunit ribosomal RNA", at positions 194 to 837 of the family's 1533-position model. Lineage: Bacteria; Bacillati; Actinomycetota; Actinomycetes; Mycobacteriales; Nocardiaceae. The record is from RNAcentral.
GUGUGGUGGAAAGAUUUAUCGGUGCAGGAUGGGCCCGCGGCCUAUCAGCUUGUUGGUGGGGUAAUGGCCUACCAAGGCGACGACGGGUAGCCGGCCUGAGAGGGCGACCGGCCACACUGGGACUGAGACACGGCCCAGACUCCUACGGGAGGCAGCAGUGGGGAAUAUUGCACAAUGGGCGCAAGCCUGAUGCAGCGACGCCGCGUGAGGGAUGACGGCCUUCGGGUUGUAAACCUCUUUCAGCAGGGACGAAGCGCAAGUGACGGUACCUGCAGAAGAAGCACCGGCCAACUACGUGCCAGCAGCCGCGGUAAUACGUAGGGUGCAAGCGUUGUCCGGAAUUACUGGGCGUAAAGAGCUCGUAGGCGGUUUGUCGCGUCGUCUGUGAAAACCAGCAGCUCAACUGUUGGCUUGCAGGCGAUACGGGCAGACUUGAGUAUUUCAGGGGAGACUGGAAUUCCUGGUGUAGCGGUGAAAUGCGCAGAUAUCAGGAGGAACACCGGUGGCGAAGGCGGGUCUCUGGGAAAUAACUGACGCUGAGGAGCGAAAGCGUGGGUAGCGAACAGGAUUAGAUACCCUGGUAGUCCACGCCGUAAACGGUGGGCGCUAGGUGUGGGGUUUCCUUCCA